This 968-nucleotide non-coding RNA is filed under the name Dermochelys coriacea (leatherback sea turtle). RNAcentral describes it as "12S ribosomal RNA". It matches the Rfam family "Bacterial small subunit ribosomal RNA". The record is from RNAcentral. Lineage: Eukaryota; Metazoa; Chordata; Testudines; Dermochelyidae.
CAAAGAUUUGGUCCUAACCUUACUGUUACUUUUUGCUAAACUUACACAUGCAAGUGUCAGCACACCAGUGAAAAUACCCUAACAGUCUAAUCAGAUAAAAGGAGCCGGUAUCAGGCACACCAUGACAGCCCAAGACACCUAGCCCUGCCACACCCCCAAGGGUACCACAGCAGUGAUAAAAAUUAAGCAAUAAGCGCAAGCUUGACUUAAUUAUAGCAAAUCUAGAGCUGGUCAAUCUCGUGCCAGCCACCGCGGUUAUACAAGAAGCCCAAACUAACAGCUAAUCGGCGUAAAAUGUGGCUAAAUAUUUAUCAACAAAAUUAAGGUGAACCUAAUACCCAACUGUCAUACGUAAAGGUAUACAUUAACACACUAUGAAAAUAACCUUAAUACUAACGAAACAAUUUGAACCCACGAUCGCUAAGACACAAACUAGGAUUAGAUACCCUACUAUGCUUAGCCCUAAACUUAGAUAUUUAACAUACAAAAAUAUCCGCCAGAGAACUACGAGCAAAACGCUUGAAACUCUAAGGACUUGGCGGUACCUCAAACCCCCCUAGAGGAGCCUGUUCUAUAAUCGAUAAUCCACGAUUCACCUCACCAUCUCUUGCCAAUCCCGCCUAUAUACCACCGUCACCAGCUUACCCCGUGAGGGUAAAAAAGUAAGCAAAAUAACCCACAACAGCUAAUAAGUCAGGUCAAGGUGUAGCUAAUUGAGAUGGAAGAAAUGGGCUACAUUUUCUAUAUUAGAAAUAGUCACGGAAGGAGACUAUGAAACAAGUCCCACAAGUAGGAUUUAGCAGUAAACUGGGAACAGAACGCCCAAUUUAAGCCGGUCCUGAGGUGCGCACACACCGCCCGUCACCCUCCUCAAAAAUCAACUAAACAACCAUAAAUAAACCACAACAAACAAAUAGAUGAGGCAAGUCGUAACAAGGUAAGUACACCGGAAGGUGUACUUGGAACAC